Molecule: RNA transcript, 2516 nt
Organism: Poeciliopsis prolifica (blackstripe livebearer)
Lineage: Eukaryota; Metazoa; Chordata; Actinopteri; Cyprinodontiformes; Poeciliidae
Gene name: bifunctional protein GlmU-like
Exons: 4
Source: RefSeq, a predicted model, not a curated record
GUUCGUUUCUGUGGAGUUUGAUCCUUGAUCUGCAACAGAAUGAACCAGCGGAUUGGACUCCAAUAAAGUCAAGAGAACCUUCUGGUUCUGGUUCUGGUUCAGACCCGGUUCGGCUCCGCCGCCCGCAGCAUUAACGACCCGCCCUCCGCCACGCCGCGGGGUCAGAGGUCGGCCUGCUGUUUGCUUUGGCGCUGAUCCCGUUACAGACCCGAACGGGCCUCACGCAGAACAGAACCAGCUGCUGCGUUCAGCGGAACCAGAAGAGUUUUAACAUUUCUGAAACUUUUUCUUCUUCUGGGUUCUUUUGUUUGGUUCUGGUUGUUCGGGUCCAAAUGAGCCUCGACCCGCCGGGUCAGAAACCUGCAACCAGAAAAAACAAACGGCGGCCGGGUCGGCGCUCCGGGUCCACGCUGUCCGGUUCGGUCCGGGUCAGGAGCUGUUGGGAUCGCUGCAGGCGUUUGUGGAAGAGCGACGACUCGGCGCGCCGUUCAUCAUCACCUGUGUGGGCAGCGUUACCAGGGCAACGCUCAGGCUGGCUAACGCCACAGCAACAAAUACUGAUGAGGUUCUGCGGCUGAGCGGUCGCUAUGAGAUCGUCUCUCUGGUCGGGACGCUCAACGGCGACGCCCACCUCCACAUUGGCCUGGCGGACGCCCAGGGCGCCACGGUGGGCGGCCAUGUUCUGGGCGACCUGGAGGUGUUCACCACCGCCGAGGUCAUCGUGGGCGACGCCGUCGACCUGCGGUUCAGCAGGGAGCCCGACCCGAGGACGGGCUUCCCCGAGCUGGUGGUUCUGACCCCGGCCUGAACCUCGAGGGUUCUGGACCCGAACCCGGUUCUGUCCCUGAUUAAAUCACCGUCGGCUUUCCGUGGCCGACCCAGACCCGAUGAUCAGAACCAGAAACAUUUGUAAACAGCUUUUCUGUGAAAUAAUUGACCUUUGACCCGGCCUGUCUGUUGCUGCUGCGCUGUGAGCGAGCGGUCGCUAUGGAAACUGAUGAAGAAAAGCCGAUUUUCAUGGAUGAAAAGUUUCCAGAUUUGUGUGGAAACUUUAAAUGGCCGCUUUGCUUUGUUGUUUCUGACCAAGAUAAUCCUAAAUCUCCCAGCAUGCCCCCCGCCCCCCCACUGCCCCCGCGCCGCCAUUAAAGUGCAGCUACAAAGCUGUGGAGGCGUUGGCGGUCUGCGGCCCCCUGGGGCCCCAUCUGAGGCGUUGUCACGGCGAUUACCGCUCCCAGCUGCUUUCAGCCUCAUUUCACAUCAUCAGAGCAGCGGACAUGUUGGCUCAGAGAUCGGCUUUAUUGAUCCCUAAUGAUCGGCUUUAUUCAUCCUUAAUGAUCGGCUUUAUUGAUCCCUAAUGAUCGGCUUUAUUCAUCCUUAAUGAUCGGCUUUAUUCAUCCUUAAUGAUCGGCUUUAUUGAUCCCUAAUGAUCGGCUUUAUUGAUCCCUAAUGAUCGGCUUUAUUGAUCCCUAAUGAUCGGCUUUAUUGAUCCCUAAUGAUCGGCUUUAUUGAUCCCUAAUGAUCGGCUUUAUUCAUCCCUAAUGAUCGGCUUUAUUGAUCCCUAAUGAUCGGCUUUAUUCAUCCUUAAUAAUCAACAGAUCUGAAUUCUGCCAACACAGUUUCUCUCCUCAUGACCUUUGACCUGCUAACUGAGUUUGUCUCUGAGCAUCACUGGGAGGCUUUCCUGUCUGGUUUGGAGAUGACCUUUGGAGAUGACCUUUGACCCCUCCCAGGUUGAUGAACACCAGUUGCCUCUGUAUGUUUACGUUUCCUCUAAGCUGCUGAUUGUGGCGUUGGCUCCGUUAAACAUGAUGCAUCAUGUGUUGCCAGGCAGAUUUAAUUUUAGGAACUUAUUUACCAGCAGGGUCCACCGCUAGCUGCUAGCCUUCAGCACUAGCCAUGAUCAUUAGCUCUGCUGAUGCACUAUGCUACAUGGUAUUUUGCUGAAGCUAAUGCUAUAGUGCUAACCCUUGAGCUAAUGCUAUAGUGCUAACCCUUGACCUAAUGGUAUAGUGCUCACCCUUGAGCUAAUACUGUAGUGCUAACCCUUGAGCUAAUACUGUAGUGCUAACCCUUGAGCUAAUGCUGUAGUGCUAACCCUUGAGCUAAUGCUGUAGUGCUAACCCUUGAGCUAAUGCUGUAUUGCUAACCCUUGAGCUAAUGCUGUAUCGCUAACCCUUGAGCUAAUGCUAUAGCGCUAACCCUUGAGCUAAUGCUAUAUCGCUAACCCUUGAGCUAAUGCUAUAGCGCUAACCCUUGAGCUAAUGCUAUAUCGCUAACCCUUGAGCUAAUGCUGUAGUGCUAACCCUUGAGCUAAUGCUAUAUUGCUAACCCUUGAGCUAAUGCUUUAGUGCUAACCCUUUAGCACCAAUUUACCGUUGAUGUUAAAAUUCAUAUGUCCUUUUUAAUAACAAAGAAAACAAAUGAGUGUAGCAAAAACCUGUUAACCAAGAACUUUGUUUUGUUUGAAAUCAAAUUAUUAGACAAAAAGACAAUUAUAAACAAGCUUCAAAAAUUCA